Molecule: non-coding RNA, 157 nt
Filed under: Meinhardsimonia xiamenensis
Lineage: Bacteria; Pseudomonadati; Pseudomonadota; Alphaproteobacteria; Rhodobacterales; Paracoccaceae
Description: Albidovulum sp. YBY-7 6S / SsrS RNA
Rfam family: 6S / SsrS RNA
About the family: E. coli 6S RNA was the first non coding RNA to be sequenced, but its function was unknown until recently.
Source: Rfam by way of RNAcentral
CGGGUUCUGCCCCUCUCGUGACGAGGUCAAAUUCCGGUGGCCUUACUCGAUCCCGAGGGAGCUGGCUCUGACAAGGUCGUGGCCUUGUUACCUGGCGCCCACCUGUACAAGCAGGCUCUCGGGAAUUGGUUGCCUCAACGGUUGCGGCGGUCCCGCC